Molecule: long non-coding RNA, 1459 nt
Organism: Caretta caretta (loggerhead turtle)
Lineage: Eukaryota; Metazoa; Chordata; Testudines; Cheloniidae
Source: RefSeq, a predicted model, not a curated record
CAGAGGUGCUGCACACUCAGUACGGAGAGCGCGACUUGUACCAGUGAAGGUACCCCAGCAGCUAGAAACAGAACAGUCUUGCCCACUUCUCUACUUCACCUACACGUCUGCUCCUUCUAUUCGUUAUCAAACCCUUCACCCCCUCUAACGAGGUUUUCGUGAUCAAUGCACAUGCUCCUUAUCCCCACACCUUGGCUUGUGUCUCUCCUCCCCCAUCUGCCCGUCUCUCACCCCGCAGGAGGCAUGUGCACGUAACUUGCUGCAAGCCCUUUGCCCGCCCUUUGGGGCCCCCUCGUUUCCAUCAUGCCAGCGUGCUCGGCGCUCCCGUUACCUGCCUCUUAGGUCAAUGACCACCUUGUUUUCAAGGUGGGUUCAGAGGCAGGGCUCUCAGCUGCGACCUGCUCAAGGGCCUUGGUUUUACUGAUAGACAGACAGACCGACCUGGACUGGCGUUAUGGUGCUGAGCUCACAGCUGACCCGUACCUUGGUCUGCGGGGCCCCUGUUCCCUUCUUUUCAGACUGGAAUUCCCCAAGGCUAUUUCAUUUCAGAGCUGAAACCCAGUGGAUCCAGCAGCACUAGCUCCUGGUUUCCAUUUCUCCUCUUCUCGCUGCUCUAUGCUCACUUCUCGCACUAUUUAUAACCCACAAAAGGACCAUUUUAUGGAACAGCAGGUGCCUUGGCAGGGCUCGGAGCCUGUUAUACUGCAUCUGGCCAUGCCUCCCCGUCCCCCGAAGUGACAGUAAUUAGCAGAGUGGCUGGCUCUGGCUGACAGAUCCGGAGCGUGUGCUGGAGCCAUUACAGAGCAGAUCUGAAGAGACUCGCUGGCCGGUGUCAACAGGGAGUGUCCCACCUGCCACAGCAGGGAUGGACUCCAAUCUGAGCAGGCAAUUAAUGCUGGAUCUGCAGAUAAUGAGCUACUGGGGUUCUCACUCUCUCAGGAGCAGCGGAGUCCUAGGCAAUGAACCAGGGAGGAUGAAUGAGGAGUCAGAGAGUGCCAAAGAUCAAGUCAUCAUAAUAUCAUCAAAUCUGGGAUACUCCAGAGGGAUCCACAUCCAAAGACAGAGGCGCAGAGCAAACGUGACGCAGGCCAGCUCAGAAGGGAUAAGAAGCAAGCCGCAGAAAAUGGACUGGAAUCAACAAUUGUCAAGAACAAUUACCUUGGAGAAGGGCAGAUGGGACUGCGCAGAUCAGUAAGAGCUAGAUAUGAAUGACUAGGGACUACAGUGGGUCACUAGGGAUUAGCAGACAAAAGAUGGUAAUAAAACCUAGAGAGGGAAGGAAGAAAGAAAAUGUAUUAAAGGUAGGAGGAGGAAUUGGAAAUAUGUCUGGCUGGUGAGUCUUGCUUGGGGUCUCCAGAUUUGGGGUCUGUAAGGAAUUCUGCCCCCGGUCAGACUGGCAGGAGACUUUAUGGGGGGGGUGCCUUCCUCUGCAGCAUGGUGUUUGGGUGAACUACUGAUA